GGAUUGUAAACUCCUGUUGUUGAGGAAGAUAAUGACGGUACUCAACAAGGAAGUGACGGCUAACUACGUGCCAGCAGCCGCGGUAAAACGUAGGUCACAAGCGUUGUCCGGAAUUACUGGGUGUAAAGGGAGCGCAGGCGGGCGAUCAAGUUGGAAGUGAAAUCCAUGGGCUCAACCCAUGAACUGCUUUCAAAACUGGUCGUCUUGAGUAGUGCAGAGGUAGGCGGAAUUCCCGGUGUAGCGGUGGAAUGCGUAGAUAUCGGGAGGAACACCAGUGGCGAAGGCGGCCUACUGGGCACCAACUGACGCUGAGGCUCGAAAGUGUGGGUAGCAAACAGGAUUAGAUACCCUGGUAGUCCACACCGUAAA
This 369-nucleotide ribosomal RNA is filed under the name uncultured bacterium. Its description in RNAcentral is "bacterial SSU rRNA". It matches the Rfam family "Bacterial small subunit ribosomal RNA", at positions 420 to 806 of the family's 1533-position model. The record is from RNAcentral.